Apodemus sylvaticus (European woodmouse) is the source of this 3206-nucleotide long non-coding RNA. RefSeq lists it as uncharacterized. The record is from RefSeq and is a predicted model, not a curated record. Lineage: Eukaryota; Metazoa; Chordata; Mammalia; Rodentia; Muridae. The transcript has 3 exons.
GUGAGGGGCUGGGGGCGGGGCUCAGUGGUAGAGCCCCUGCCUAGUAUGCUGGGAGAAGAUCCUAGAUAUCCUAGAUAUAAUUCAAGGAGAGAGAGGGAGGGAUAGAUAGAGAGGGGAGGGAGCUGAGGCUCCCCGGAACAGGCAGGUGUCUGUCUGCCCAGUGGUCUCCAACCCUUUGGUCCGUCUGUCCUGCUGCGGGCUCACCUGGGUUGUCCACCCCAGUCUGGAUUACAUCAUCCAGAGUGAAGCCAGAUGGAGUCUCCUUAUCUCGGAGCUUAUUGUAGAGGUCAGGGGUCAGCACCUUGGCCAUGUGAUUGUUGUGUUUGCUGAGGUCUGGGUACUCCUCCUGCGCCUUGUAGUUCAGCUUGAACUUGUUGUGGGUGUUGCCGAACGGCAUGGCGGCGGACUUUGGGACCCUGCGAGCAGACAGGAUGAUGCACACAGACUUAAGAACCCAGUUGCUAGGGGCCUGCAGUCAGUCGAUUGAUUGUGGGCUUAAAACAAGAGGGGCAUCCCUCUCUGUGAGCCCCAGCCUUGUAAGGAAGCAUUAGGAGCCCAAGUUGCCUGAUGUGGCCACAUCGUGCCUGUGUGACCCUGCUGGGGACCCAGUGUCCCUAGCUGGGACGGAAGGGCAAAACCUUUUGUCCAAAGCCAAAUAAGGACAGUCACAUAAAUAACAACAACAACAACAACAACAACAAAAUACUGGAUCUGGGGUGGGGUUCCACUGCCAGAGAGCUUGUCCUGCAAACUUUGGACGCUGGCUUUGGUACCCCGCAAAAUCGGGUGUGGCUGCUCAUGCCUGUAAACCCAGACACCUAGAGUAUCAGAAAUUCAAGGUCAUCUUCAGCAAGGCCAGCCCGAGCUACAGGAAUCUCUACCUCAACCAAGAAGAACUGAAUACAGGCCUUGGCUGGGUGUGGCAGCCCAUGCUUGUAACUCCAGCACUCUGAGGCGGAAGCAGGAGGGUUGUAGGGCAUUCAAGGCUAGCCCGGGCCUCAGAAACCCUGCCUCCAGAAAAUAAAAUUAUAUAAAAUAACAAGAUGCAUAAAAGCAGCAAAGGAUCUGGAAUCAGGUGGUCUGGGUUCGAGUUUUGGCUUCUACUUCUGACAAGCUGUGUGACUCUGCGGAGCCUGUCUGACUCCUCUGUAAACUCAUCUGUAAAGUGCAGGCCACGGCUGUGCUUUCCUCGUGGGAGGGAUUUAAAGACGGGUAAAGCGCGGCCCGUGUGCCUUGCUUUUAUUGUUCUUGGGUCUGUGGUUGUUUGAAAUAUGUGAGCCUCACAGACUCACAUAUUUGAAUGUUUGGUCCCUGGUCGGUGGAAGUGUUUGGGAAGGAUUAGAAGGUGUGGCUUUGCAGGAGGUGUGUCACUGCUUGUGGGCUUUGAGGUUUCAAAAAGUCCACCCGCUCCCCAAGCAUCUCCCCAAGCAGCUCCCUCUCAGUCUCUUGGCUGAUGAUAAGGAUGUAGCUCUCAGCUGCGCCACCACCAUGCCCACCUGCCUGCCGCUCUAGAACCGUCAACCCCAAACUAAUGCUUUCUUCUUUUUAAGUUGUCUUGGUCAUAUUGUUUUGUCACAGAAAUUGAAAAUCAACUCCGACAAGCUCUGUGUGAGGACCGUGGUAAAGAUUAUAUGUGCACACCUGAGAAAAGUGGUAAAGGUUCCACUGAGAUUCUGACCCAAAUCAGUCCAGGUGCAGGCGUAGGAAUGAGUCCGGAGGCCUCAGCCAUCACUCCCUGUCCCUCCACCUCUGGCUGUCUACCAGGUCCACUUCCAAAGCCACAUCUCUCCUAAGCCACUGCUCUGUGGCCCCAGGCUGUGACUGGACCUCUCUGACACGUGUAUCAGCGAGACUGAAGCUCUCUCACCGGAAGGGCAGAGCUCUGAGCUCCAGCCCAAGACUGGCGAGUCCAUGACCAGCCGGACUGUCUGGCAUGAAGUCGCAGCUCGGAUUCUAACAGUUACUGUUAAUACUUCUGUUUGUACAUUGCAGGCUCACGCAUGUGCACAGGUGUGCACAUUCCAGUGGCGGCAAAGGCUGACCUCAGGUUCUGCGACAUUGUUGCCAUUUUUUAGAUUCUUUAUUUUAUCUUGAGGUAGGGCCUCUCACAGACCAGGAGCUAGGUUGGCUGGCCAUCAGGCCCAGGGCUCGGAUCCUCCUGUCCCUACCUCACCAGGGGAUUCAGAAGUUCUCCCCACAGAUAGCUGUUUUUUGUUUGUUUGUUUGUUUGUUUGUUUGUUUGUUUUUAGUUUUGUUUUCUUUUUCUAGAGUGUGAAUUCUGGGAUUUGAACUAAGCCAUAAGCUGCCCUGGUCACCUCCCCGUCACAUCCCUUGUUUUUUAUUGUUAUUGCUUUUCCUUAUUACCUUUAUCACUAGGCCCCUGAAGCACUGACCUUGGGGGGGGCGUCCUGCCUCCAUCAGGACUGGAAGGAGGCCCCAGGGAAAGAUAGGGUUUCUCUGUAGCCUUGGCUGUCCUGGAGCUCUCUCUGUAAACUGUCGACUGUGAAAGGCAGCCUGUGGCCUGCUUGAGCGAGGCUUACUCUGGAGAUGCGGUAGCGAAUUCUACAAGGGACGGAACCGUGAGCCACCAUGGAACUCCUGACACCACCAGGCCCUCAACUCUGUAAUUCUGUGGCAAUCAAUCACCUAGGGCCACGCCCCAAGCCCCUAGUAUUCUGGAUGGACUCCACCCCCACAGUCACCUGGCAACAGCCAGGAAGGCCUCCCAGCGCUUCAGCCCCAUCCUCCAGGGCAGAGCAGACCAAGGACUAGCCCGCCGCCGCCAGCCAGCCAGGGAAACGCCCAGCGCCCUCCCUGCCCCCUUCCCCUUCAGCCCUGGCCUGACCGAGCCGCCCCCACCCCACCCCACCCCCUCGUUCUCAGUUCUUCCCCUCCCUGAGGCCCAGGGACCCCGAGACUGCGCUCCUCUUCACCCGUGGGGUGUGGAGGCCUCACAUGGCCCAAUGUCCGGCGGUGGCCCAUGGGAUCGCGCGACAGUCUCCCGUGUAUGCCUGUCCAGUGCCGGGCGGGGGGCGGGGGCUCUGGCGGGACGCUGGUUCUGCCGCCCUUUAUGCCCCCAGGUCCUGCGCCCUAUAGUAAACCAGGAUGGUUUUGAACUCACAGACUCUGUCUCCCAGAGUGCUGGGGUUAAAGGCCCCAUGCCUGGCCCUGACUUUUUUUUCCAUUAAAAAAAUUACAUUUAUUUA